GUCUAAGUAUACUAACGAAUGCAUAUAAGGUUGAUAAAGUAUCAGUGUUUUGAGAGAAGUGUUAAUAAGAAACGGUAAAUAAAAGGCUAAACAAAAAGAGAAUGUAGGGAUAUAAAGUCCAUGUGCAACCACUCAACCAUUCAUCUGCCUCAAAACACAGACACGUGUAUGUUAACAACAAACGAUGUCAAAUGUUUAAACAUGAUAGAACUGGUAAACGGAAACGUAACAAUCUCCGCCGAUGGCAAACUCGCAAAUUACACGUGUCACGAUGGAUAUAUGUUGAACGGCAGCGCAAUACGCACUUGUGUUAACGGUACAUGGAGUGGAUAUGAUCCUAGCUGUUUGGAAAGUACAAUAUUAAUAUAACUUAAAGCUUGGCAUAUGAUUGUGACAAACUAUUAGCCCCUGAAAAUGACAACGUAAGUUUCUCGGCUUCAAAUACUAUUGCCACUUUCACGUGUAUACCGGGAUUCUUGUUGAACGGAAGCAGCCAGAUGACAUGCGGCAAUGGCAAUUGGAGCGCUAAAGUACCUAGUUGCCACAGAAAAGGUGAAUAAACUGAACGUUACAAACGUCACAGCAAGUGCGAUUGUCGAUGUGUUAAAUACAAUGACAGCAGCGACAACUGUAAAUACCACCACAUCUGAAAAACUUACAGGAAGAUCAGUUUCAAAAUAGCCGACUCGCUAUCAAAAGUUGCAGACAUCUUGAAAUCUAGUGCCGGAACGGUGAAUAUAACAACAAGCAUGACCAAAAAUUUUCUAACAUCAACGAGCAACCUGUUGGAGGAAAAAGAUACAUGGAAAACAAUGAAAGAAUCGGGUAAAAAUGAUGGCGGCAAAAUUUUGAAAGCAGUAGACACAUUGACGGACGUACUGAGAACAAGCUUUAAAGCCGAUUCUACAAUAAAUCAGACAAUUCAACCACAAAUAUUGCAAUAUAAUUACUUAAUAUGACAGGUAAUAAAGCAAUUAAAUUUCCCGGCGGAGAUUUCGCAGAUACAUUGGCUUGGGGUGCCGAAAGUACGAAAACUGCAAUAACUUUUCAACCGAGUAGU
Molecule: long non-coding RNA, 1060 nt
Organism: Dreissena polymorpha
Lineage: Eukaryota; Metazoa; Mollusca; Bivalvia; Myida; Dreissenidae
Exons: 6
Source: RefSeq, a predicted model, not a curated record